CGGCGAUUAGAUACUGAAGAAUUAAGUUUGCCAGAUAUUUCUGCAGAAAUCGCCGAGAAAAUGGCUACAUUUCAUGGUAUGAAAAUGCCAUUCAAUAAGGAACCAAAAUGGCUUUUUGGCACAAUGGAAAAGUAUCUAAAGGAAGUGCUGAGAAUUAAAUUUACUGAGGAAUCCAGAAUUAAAAAGCUCCACAAAUUGCUCAGUUACAAUCUGCCCUUGGAACUGGAAAACCUGAGAUCAUUGCUUGAAUCUACUCCAUCUCCAGUUGUAUUUUGUCAUAAUGACUGUCAAGAAGGUAAUAUCUUGUUGCUGGAAGGCCGAGAGAAUUCUGAAAAACAGAAACUGAUGCUCAUUGAUUUCGAAUACAGCAGUUACAAUUACAGGGGAUUCGACAUUGGAAAUCACUUCUGUGAGUGGAUGUAUGAUUAUAGCUAUGAAAAAUACCCUUUUUUCAGAGCAAACAUCCGGAAGUAUCCCACCAAGAAACAACAGUUACUUGCCUGCAUUCCAAAAUGACUUUGAAAACCUCAGUACUGAAGAAAAAUCCAUUAUAAAAGAAGAAAUGUUGCUUGAAGUUAAUAGGUUUGCCCUUGCAUCUCAUUUCCUCUGGGGACUGUGGUCCAUUGUACAAGCCAAGAUUUCAUCUAUUGAAUUUGGGUACAUGGACUACGCCCAAGCAAGGUUUGAUGCCUAUUUCCACCAGAAGAGGAAGCUUGGGGUGUGACUGUGGGGAGGACUCCAUCCACCUCAUCACUGGACUGCAUGGGGAGGCAGCAGAGCGGGGUCCCCUCUGUGCUUCGACUACUGCUCCUGUGGCAGGAGGCUUUGGGUGGCUCACUACUGAACACGUGUAUGAUACUAAAGACGGUAUUAAAAUGGAGCGACGUUUAUUUCAUCUCUUGUUUACGAUUUCACUAGGACUCAGAAACGAGAUCGGGAAGCAGAAAUAUAGUGCAAUAGUGCAACAUCUCUGAAUCCUUUUAAUCUAGAGAAGGCAUUUCAUAUUUGGGGGCUAAGGUUUCCAGUCAGAUGAGGCAAACAGCAAGAGUAAGCAGUGUUACUUGCAGGUACUUUGGUUAAUGUUGAUUUAAAUUUUCAUGAAUGUGCUGGUGAACACUGUGACCAGGCUUUUGUAGAUGGCUAUGUGUUAUAGACGGUGCUCACUCCCAAGGGACGGCAAGUGAGCAGAGAUGUACUGCGAAGUCGCCAGUCACUGCUGCAAGGUGGCCUCUGCCUGGGGCCUCCGGAAGCUGCUCCUCUACCCUCUUGGUCCCAUGGCUGAAGCUGGAGCAGCGGAUUGCUCUGGAGCAGCCAAGGCCGCCUGCGUGUGGAGCAGAGCUCUCCCCUCCUGCUGGGCGUGUGUGACACUGAUGAGUUUCACUGUACUGCAUGUGACUUCUCCCCUGCCCUUCCUCCUGAUGGAGUGCAGACAGCCAUGCGUGGCCACGGGGGCAGUGUGAGGACCUCCGUGUCUCCCGGCUCCCCUCCCAGGGGAGCCAGCUGCUUGACCUAGCUCUUUGGGCCUCUCCUGCCCUCUGCUCUGCCUGGAGUGUCGGAUCCUGUGAGUAGGCUGGGCCGCCCCUGGGCAGGGUUCUCCAAGGGCCCGGUUUCCCGGCCCUUACCUUUCCUGAUGCCCCUGACAUCAUCAUUCUUGUGGGAGACAGCAGCCUGUAUGUGGUGUGGGGCGUGGAUCGAGUGUAGCUGUGAAAUCCAUAUAUAUGAAAUGUCCCGCGGGAUACAGUCUUAGCUGACUUUUUUUUACUCUGAACUCUGAAUUGUUUUUUGUGCAUAUAUUUCUGCUACCACAGAGAUUGUACUAUACAAAUAAAAAAAUAAAAAC
RNAcentral lists this long non-coding RNA (1840 nucleotides) under Pan troglodytes (chimpanzee). Its description in RNAcentral is "long non-coding RNA NONPTRT003111". The record is from RNAcentral. Lineage: Eukaryota; Metazoa; Chordata; Mammalia; Primates; Hominidae.